Molecule: long non-coding RNA, 806 nt
Organism: Juglans microcarpa x Juglans regia
Lineage: Eukaryota; Viridiplantae; Streptophyta; Magnoliopsida; Fagales; Juglandaceae
Exons: 2
Source: RefSeq, a predicted model, not a curated record
UUUCUAGUUUCUUAAUUGUUUUUCUCUUUCAUUUAUAGGUUUUUUUAAUCAUUAAAGCUCUUUUUUUUUUUUUUUUUUAAAGCUAGUUCUUUUUUUCCUUUUUUUUUUUUUUGACUUAGUGAAGCUUUCUGAUUCGAUUAAAGUUUGUUUAGAUGUCUAUAUAUUGUUGAAAAUCAGCCUAAAAGUCGCUAAAUUUGGAGUGUGUAUACAGUUUUUUUGGUUGCUUUGUCCGUGGUCAGCAGUGAAGUUAGUUUUCAAGCCGAAAAGGUUAUCUUAUUGGAUGUUCGAUGUUCUAUUUAAAAGCUUUGGCUAUUGAAUAAGGUGUUAGAGGACAAUUUGCAGCAUAACCCUGUGUGUUGCUAAGCCAAGGUUCCUCAUAUAAACCUACCAUUUAAUUCUUUUCGUUAGCUUUCUUGCUUUGGUUUCUGAAGAUAGUGAACAUGAGAAGGAAAGACCCUUUAUUCUUUGCUGUACAAAGGACUGUUACACAAUCAGUUAGGCGAUAACGUAGCAUGGAUCUACUACUCCUGACACUUAGUUAGCAAAAAGAGUUUGAGCUUGAUUACUUUUCUUCUUUGGGGUGUUUCAGCAGGGACCAAUUAGCUGUUCUUUUUAUACCGACUUACUGUUUACUGGCUAGUACGUUUGGAUGUUGAGAUGAGUUGAGUUGCGUUGAGUUGUAAAUAGUAGUAUUUUGUGGAUCCCAUUGAGACGAGUUUAACUUUUUUAGGUUGAGAUCUGUUUAACUUUUUAGGUUGAAAUAUUUGAAGUGGGUUGAGAUGAGCUUAACUUUUUUAUGGGAAGUU